AUUUCUGUAGUUGAAGUUUACAGCGGCGGCUUUUCAGGCCGCAGUUCUUGGAGAAAAGCCAAGCAGGAAUU
Molecule: transfer RNA, 71 nt
Filed under: Geopelia cuneata (diamond dove)
Lineage: Eukaryota; Metazoa; Chordata; Aves; Columbiformes; Columbidae
Description: tRNA-Glu
Source: RNAcentral